This 434-nucleotide ribosomal RNA is filed under the name uncultured Lachnospiraceae bacterium. RNAcentral describes it as "partial 16S ribosomal RNA". It matches the Rfam family "Bacterial small subunit ribosomal RNA", at positions 341 to 792 of the family's 1533-position model. Lineage: Bacteria; Bacillati; Bacillota; Clostridia; Lachnospirales; Lachnospiraceae. The record is from RNAcentral.
ACGGAAGGCAGCAGUGGGGAAUAUUGCACAAUGGGCGAAAGCUUGAUGCAGCGACGCCGCGUGAGUGAAGAAGUAUCUCGGUAUGUAAAGCUCUAUCAGCAGGGAAGAAAAUGACGGUACCUGACUAAGAAGCCCCGGCUAACUACGUGCCAGCAGCCGCGGUAAUACGUAGGGGGCAAGCGUUAUCCGGAUUUACUGGGUGUAAAGGGAGCGUAGACGGUUUGGCAAGUCUGAAGUGAAAUGCGGGGGCUCAACUCCUGAACUGCUUUGGAAACUGUCGAACUAGAGUGCAGGAGAGGUAAGUGGAAUUCCUAGUGUAGCGGUGAAAUGCGUAGAUAUUAGGAGGAACACCAGUGGCGAAGGCGGCUUACUGGACUGUAACUGACGUUGAGGCUCGAAAGCGUGGGGAGCAAACAGGAUUAGAUACCCUGGUA